Molecule: unclassified non-coding RNA, 113 nt
Organism: Cercocebus atys (sooty mangabey)
Lineage: Eukaryota; Metazoa; Chordata; Mammalia; Primates; Cercopithecidae
Rfam family: Y RNA
About the family: Y RNAs are components of the Ro ribonucleoprotein particle (Ro RNP), in association with Ro60 and La proteins.
Source: Ensembl
GGCUGGUCCGAAGGUCAGGAGUUACUUCAAUUGAUUGUUCACAGUCAGUUACAGGUCAAACUCCUUGUUCUACCCUUUCCCCACUUCUCACUACUACACUUUACUAGUCUUUA